AUGUAUAACAUAUGUGUUUGCUUGUAUGUGUGCGCCACAAGAUAUGCUAUACAGUGCUGCCUAUGUAUCUACAGUAUAUUCAUCAGCAAUGUAAUUGAACCUCUACUUCAUUGCCCUCCCUCCCCUCCCUACAGCUACCUGGUACAGGUGGGAGAGGUAACUUAUCAAUGCUACAGCUACCUGGUACAGGUGGGAGAGGUAACUUAUCAACGCUACAGCUACCUGGUACAGGUGGGAGAGGUAACCUAUCAAUGCUACAGCUACCUGGUACAGGUGGGAGAGGUAACCUAUCAACGCUACAGCUACCUGGUACAGGUGGGAGAGGUAACCUAUCAACGCUACAGCUACCUGGUACAGGUGGGAGAGGUAACCUAUCAACGCUACAGCUACCUGGUACAGGUGGGAGAGGUAACCUAUCAACGCUACAGCUACCUGGUACAGGUGGGAGAAGUAACUUAUCAACGCUACAUCUACCUGGUGCAGGUGGGAGAGGUAAACUUAUCAACGCUACAGCUACCUGGUACAGGUGGGAGAGGUAACGUAUCAAUGCUACAGCUACUUGGUACAGGUGGGAGAGGUAACUUAUCAACGCUACAUCUACCUGGUGCAGGUGGGAGAGGUAACUUAUCAACGCUACAGCUACCUGGUACAGGUGGGAGAGGUAACUUAUCAACGCUACAGCUACCUAGUACAGGUGGGAGAGGAAUUGUCAAUGCUACAGUUACCUGGUACAGGUGGGAGAGGUAACUUAUCAACGCUACAGCUACCUGGUACAGGUGGGAGAGGUAACCUAUCAAUGCUACAGCUACCUGGUGCAGGUGGGAGAGGUAACCUAU
This 836-nucleotide long non-coding RNA is filed under the name Oncorhynchus mykiss (rainbow trout). Its description in RNAcentral is "lncRNA (ENSOMYG00000055867.1)". Lineage: Eukaryota; Metazoa; Chordata; Actinopteri; Salmoniformes; Salmonidae. The record is from RNAcentral.